Molecule: ribosomal RNA, 660 nt
Filed under: uncultured bacterium
Lineage: Bacteria
Description: bacterial SSU rRNA
Rfam family: Bacterial small subunit ribosomal RNA
Source: RNAcentral
AGAGUUUGAUCCUGGCUCAGGACGAACGCUGGCGGUGUGCUUCACACAUGCAAGUCGAACGGAGUAGCAAUACUCAGUGGCGGACGGGUGAGUAACACGUGGGAAUUUACCAUUAGGUGGGGAAUAACAGGCCGAAAGGACUGCUAAUGCCGCAUAUGUAGGCAUCUCGACAGAGAUGUUUAUGAAAGGAGUAAUCCGCCUUUUGAUGAGCCCGCGUCCGAUUAGCUAGUUGGUAGGGUAAAAGCCUACCAAGGCGACGAUCGGUAGGUGGUCUGAGAGGAUGAUCACCCACAAUGGGACUGAGACACGGCCCAUACUCCUACGGGAGGCAGCAGUGGGGAAUUUUACGCAAUGGGGGAAACCCUGACGUAGCGACACCGCGUGAGCGAAGAAGCCCUUUGGGGUGUAAAGCUCUGUCAACAGGAACGAAACAAAUGACGGUACCUGUGGAGGAAGCAUCGGCUAACUACGUGCCAGCAGCCGCGGUAAGACGUAGGAUGCAAGCGUUGUCCGGAUUUAUUGGGCGUAAAGAGUUCGUAGGCGGUUUGUUAAGUCUGAUGUUAAAGACCGGGGCUCAACCUCGGAAAUGCAUUGGAUACUGGCAGACUGGAGUGCAGUAGAGGCUAGUGGAAUUCCCAGUGUAGCGGUGAAAUGCGUAGA